This 400-nucleotide ribosomal RNA is filed under the name uncultured bacterium. Its description in RNAcentral is "bacterial SSU rRNA". It matches the Rfam family "Bacterial small subunit ribosomal RNA", at positions 356 to 773 of the family's 1533-position model. The record is from RNAcentral.
GGGGAAUAUUGCACAAUGGGGGAAACCCUGAUGCAGCAACGCCGCGUGAGUGAUGACGGUCUUCGGAUUGUAAAGCUCUGUCUUCAGGGACGAUAAUGACGGUACCUGAGGAGGAAGCCACGGCUAACUACGUGCCAGCAGCCGCGGUAAUACGUAGGUGGCAAGCGUUGUCCGGAUUUACUGGGAGUAAAGGAUGUGUAGGCGGAUAUUUAAGUGAGAUGUGAAAUCCCCGGGCUUAACUUGGGGGCUGCAGUUCAAACUGGAUGUCUAGAGUGCAGGAGAGGAAAGCAGAAUUCCUAGUGUAGCGGUGAAAUGCGUAGAGAUUAGGAAGAAUACCAGUGGCGAAGGCGGCUUUCUGGUCUGUAACUGACGCUGAGGCGCGAAAGCGUGGGGAGCAAAC